RNAcentral lists this ribosomal RNA (253 nucleotides) under uncultured bacterium. RNAcentral's name for it is "partial 16S ribosomal RNA". It matches the Rfam family "Bacterial small subunit ribosomal RNA", at positions 524 to 776 of the family's 1533-position model. The record is from RNAcentral.
UACGUAGGGGGCUAGCGUUGUCCGGAAUCAUUGGGCGUAAAGCGCGUGUAGGCGGCCCGGUAAGUCCGCUGUGAAAGUCGGGGGCUCAACCCUCGGAUGCCGGUGGAUACUGUCGGGCUCGAGUACGGAAGAGGCGAGUGGAAUUCCUGGUGUAGCGGUGAAAUGCGCAGAUAUCAGGAGGAACACCAAUUGCGAUGGCAGCUCGCUGGGACGUAACUGACGCUGAGACGCGAAAGCGUGGGGAGCAAACAGG